AGAUGCUGAUGUGGUGAAGAUGGCCAGUAAAGCACAAGCCUCCAACCCAGUUGUCGAGGGACAACCACCCACAACACCAAAGAGGCGAAGAAGAGGAAGGCCCCCUCUCAACCAAGAUUCAGAAGCCCUCUGAAGAUUCCCAAGACAACCCGGAAGGGAAAAGAGAGUCUUUGAGGGAGUUCCAGGAAAAAAGCCACUCCCGAAAGACCGCCGCUUCAAGAAAACCUGAGGAAGGGAGAGGGCCAACGCUAUCCAGCCACUCUGACCAGCUGAACGAGGAACUCAAUCAAAAGGAGCCACAGCAGGACCAGGAAAGUGAGGAGACUUCCACCAUCUCCAGCGUCUCCCUGGACAGCCAGUAAUUUCAGGGCAAGUUCAAAGGACUAGAUCUAUCUGAGAGGUCUCCAUAGGUCUAACCCCAGAGAAAUAGCCAAAAGGGUCUAUGGUACAUUUUACACACAACAGGGUACCCCUCAUGGUGAUGAAAAUAAAAUGAACCUGUUGUAAAAUGA
RNAcentral lists this long non-coding RNA (512 nucleotides) under Homo sapiens (human). RNAcentral describes it as "HSALNT0409078". The record is from RNAcentral. Lineage: Eukaryota; Metazoa; Chordata; Mammalia; Primates; Hominidae.